UGUGCCGCCUCCCUUUCGUGCUGCGGCCUUCUGCCGCUGACUGUCCAACUUUCGGGUUUUCUUGCCUUUUUUCUCUCAGAGUUGAGCCCCUACCCGGGCCGUUUAGUCCCUGGGUCACGAGGAACGGUGGAGUUUAGAACCUGCGAUGGAACUCACCAGAGACCAGAUAGCUAGAGAAUGGCUGAACUGGGUUUUAAAUCUAGUCAAUCUUGACCCCAGAGCUCUCCAGCCUAAAGCACCCUUCUAUCAUAGAGGUCAUCAUCCACAUUCCACAGAUGAGAAAAGAAAGUUUGGGGAAGGAGGCUCCAGGCUGCACACCUAUUGCUGAGGAGAGCUGAAAUUCCAACCAUGUUUCUCCAGCUCCAGAGUCUGUGCCUCUACCACUUGAUAUAAAAGACCAUGUGAUCACAUCACAAGCUACAAAUAACUCUAACUAAAUAAAAAGCAUGCUGAUCUGAACUCUGGAAGAGAAUCUUUAUCAAUCAAUAUCUAGCGUUGUCCCAGGAAGACAGAUUCAAUGUGUAGCAGACACUGGAAAGCCUACCUUAUAUAAGUGCAAGGGGAUCUGCUGACCCUGCCCCAUUUAUUCAACUGGUGGCAAUAUGGCUGCUGUGGUUCCAGGGCCACAUCUAGAUGCACCAAUGUUCCCAAAAAGGAGAGAGAACAUCAACUUCUGUGUCUGUUUUAGGAGAAGGAAACCUUUUCCAGAGGCUUGCCAGCUGACUUCUCCCAAAGGGUCCUGGUACUUAAGGAAUACCUUUCAGAAGGAUGGAUGAAUAUGAAGAAACUAAGGAGCAAAGGAAUCAAAGAUUUCUUCCAGUCUACCUGGGAAGUUAGCUGCAUAGUUAGAAAUAGAACCCCAAACUCCUGGCCUGUUUUCCAAACCACAGAUAUGCUUGGUUUAUGCAGGAUGUUGCCUCCAGGCUGAAAAGAAAGGGAUGGAUGCAAUCCAAAGAAGAAUGAGGGCCAGGGGAAGUGUGAAGUCCAGCCAUGGAGGUAAACCCCCAAGGGAACAAAAUCCACUGGGGCCCAGGUGGGCUUGCGUGAGCUCCAACUGGGGGAAAAAAAGGGAAGAUCCUAUGGGUCUCUUUUCCUGGGCCCAGUUCUAUUCUCAGACUCUUCCUCUGGUGAGGGAGGAUGGAGAGGGGGCUUCUUACCACUUUAGACUCACAACACUGUCCUGUUCUUUCCUCCAAGAGAUCUAAUCCUUACUUGGUAUUAUUUACACUUAGCCUCUAAUGUGAUGGAGCUUUUAAACCAGGAUUGGCUGUCAGCAAGUCUCCUAGGUUAUUCUAGAGUUUGUGGGGAUUGGAAAGGAGUGGGUAUUGUGUAAGAAUCCAAGCUUCCUACUGACAGCCCUAGGACUUAGAGCCCAGCCAACCUGAGCACAGGUCUCCUAGCCCAGCUACUUUUCUCUGCUCUCACCCCAUUUCUUUCUCUUCCCCUCCACUCCAAGAUGCUGGGCAUGCAGGAUCCAUUCGUACUGCAAUUUCUUCUCCAGUCUUUGCCCUGGGUGCUUAGGUCUCUUCACCUGCCCCUUCUCUGCCCCCAUCCCAAGAAUGAUAAGAAAGCCUUUCCAUCCUGAACUGGGCAUUGUUCAGCCUCCAGAAACUUGGUUCUGGCUCUUUUGAGAGUGGUUGGGAUGCUGCUGCACAGAAGGAAACAAGAAAGUGAAGUGAACCCAACAGCCUCAGCCAUGGGCAUUGGUAAGUAAGAUGGAGGCUGGAAAUCCUACAAGCUGCAGAUCAUAGAUCCUGAUGCUCACUGGCCUCAUAAUACAGAUUCAGAUAAGGAAGUUAAGGUCCUGAGAGACUUGUUCAGGAUCACUCAUUUAUUUAUUGCCAAAGUCAAGACUAGAAUCCACUUCACACAAAUAUCACCCAAUUGAUGUUGCUUCUUUUAUUGUGCCAGAUGCAAGCAGAAAACUGUGGUCCUUCCAGAAAUACUCAUGCCAACAGGAGUAUGGGAAAGAUAUCAGAAAAGCUUUCCAGGGUCUAUGUAGUGGCUCGUAUCUAUAAUUCCAGCACUUUGGGAGGCCGAGGUGGGUGGAUCUCUUGAAUCCAGGAGUUUGAAACCAGCCUGACCAACAUGGUGAAACUCCAUCUCUACAAAAAAUGCAAAAAAUUAGCCAGAUGUGGUGGCACAGGCCUGUAGUACCAGCUACUUAGGAGGCGAACGCUGGAGAAGUCUAGGCUGCCGUGAGACCCCUGCACUCCAGUCUGAAUGACAGAGCUAGACCCUGCCUUAAACAAAACAAAACAAAACAAAGAUAUCCACUGAAACUGUUUAUAGAUAAUAUGAAACUAACAAAAUAUUAUUUACUAGAUUGUAUAUUUUCAUAGCAGCAAUUUUAAAAAGAGGUCGAAUUUCACCACUAUUUCUUCCUUUCUUCCUGGAAUUAGGCAUUGUUUUGAUAAUCUUGGUCAACUGAAAAUAUUCUCUCUAUAACUAUCAAGUUAGUGUGAAAGUUUUUUAGGAAAAAAUGCUUUUCUAUUUUAAACUGAAUCACAACACAUAUGUAUAGACAUCAGUUUCUGGAAGAAGAGCUAUUUUUAAAUAGUGCAUAAAAUGGCAUUUAAAAUAAGCCAUUUUAUCAGAGUUGCCUCCCUUGCCUAACAAGCUAUUCUGAAACUAAUCAAAUGAUUCCAUUAUUCAGUCCAAGUAAACAAAUGUUAGUACCUAAGUGUUAGUUUCUGCAUGGGACACAAAGAGAUGCUGCUCCCACACAGAUCCCCAUCUGCGGAAAGAGUUAGGUAAGGGCAGAGCAGCUGUCACAGGAGAUGGGGGAUGAGGGGGGUGAGUGAGCAAAAGGAGUGCAAAAACCUAUGGAGAGGGAAAGCAGGGAGGGAAACAACAAAUAUUUGUUGAAAAAACAUUAUCCUGGAAUAAAUCAGACAUUUAGUAAAAGUAGUUGUGGAGGCAGAGGCUGGGAGGAUGAGAGGGAUUGAAUAAAAAAAUUCCUGGCUUUUUGCCUCCAGAGCACAAGCAUUUAGCAAGUCCAAAUAUUGAAGAUACUGUAAUGAUUUUUAAAAGAAUAUGCAAAAUAUUUUAAUUUCACUCCUUCUAAAAACACUUAUCUCUUUCCACCAUGGUGAACUUAUCCAAAUCCCUGGGUCCUAGCCAUUUUUGUCAGCCUUUUAAUAUUAAACCAGAAGGAUAGAAAUCCCACCAGCCCGGAGACCUUUUGCUUUUGUGUCACAGUCACCCUGUCCCCAAUAGCUCAUAUUGUAUCUUCAUUUGUGCUUGUACUGAGGAUGGAGUUUCUUAUGGCUUAACCCACUCAUUCAACAAAUAUUUAGUGAGCAUCUGCUGUGUUCUAGGCAUUGCCAGGCACCAGUAUUAGAAGGGUGAAUAUAAAUCUUCAGGGAAAUGCAAAUCAGAGCCACAAUCAGGUAUCACCUCACAACGGUUAAGAUGGACAUUAUAUUUUGAAAAAAAUCAAGACAAGUGUGAGCAGGCAUGUGGUGAAAUUAGAAUCCUUGUACACUGCUGGGGGGGAAUGUGUAAUGGCAUGGCUGCUGUGGAAAACAGGAUGGAGGUUUCUCAAAAAAUUAAAAAUAGAACUACCAUUUAAUCCAGCAUCUCACUUCUGGGUAUAUACCCAAAAGAAUUAAAAUAAAAAUCUCAAAAGAAAUAUCUGUACUCCCACAUUCAUUAUUUAUGGCCAAGAUAAGGAAACAACCUACAUGUCCCUUGAUGGAUGAAUGGAAAAAGAAAAUGUGGUAUAUACAUACAAUGGAAUAUUAUUCAGCCUUUAUGGAAAGGAAAGCCUGCUAUAUGCGACAACAUGGAUGUACCUAGAGGACAUUAUACUAAGUGAAAUAAACCAGUCACAGAAGCCCAAAUACUGCAUGAUUCCACUUACAGUAGAUAUCUAAAAUAGACUCAGAAAUGGAAAGUAGAAUGGUGGUUGCCAAGGGCUGGGGGAAGGGAGAAACGGGAAGUUAUUGUUCAACAAAGUUUCAGUUAUUCAAGAUUAGUAAGUUUUAGAGAACUACUGUACAACAUAGUGCCUUGUAAUUAACAACACAGUUUUGUGCACUUAAAAAUUUAUCAGGAGGGUGUAUCUCACAGUAAAUGUUCUUACCACAAUAAAAAAAAAAAAAA
Molecule: long non-coding RNA, 4107 nt
Organism: Piliocolobus tephrosceles (Ugandan red Colobus)
Lineage: Eukaryota; Metazoa; Chordata; Mammalia; Primates; Cercopithecidae
Exons: 7
Source: RefSeq, a predicted model, not a curated record